AUUGAACGCUGGCGGCAUGCUUUACACAUGCAAGUCGAACGGUAACAGGCCUUCGGGUGCUGACGAGUGGCGAACGGGUGGGUAAUGCAUCGGAACGUGCCCAGAGGUGGGGGAUAACGCAGCGAAAGCUGUGCUAAUACCGCAUGUGAUCUGUGGAUGAAAGCGGGGGACCAGGCAGCAAUGUUUGGCCUCGCGCCUUUGGAGCGGCCGAUGUCAGAUUAGGUAGUUGGUGGGGUAAAGGCCUACCAAGCCGACGAUCUGUAGCUGGUCUGAGAGGACGACCAGCCACACUGGGACUGAGACACGGCCCAGACUCCUACGGGAGGCAGCAGUGGGGAAUUUUGGACAAUGGGCGCAAGCCUGAUCCAGCAAUGCCGCGUGCGGGAAGAAGGCCUUCGGGUUGUAAACCGCUUUUGUACGGAACGAAAAGGCUCUGGCUAAUACCUGGGGCUGAUGACGGUACCGUAAGAAUAAGCACCGGCUAACUACGUG
Molecule: ribosomal RNA, 492 nt
Filed under: uncultured bacterium
Lineage: Bacteria
Description: partial 16S ribosomal RNA
Rfam family: Bacterial small subunit ribosomal RNA
Source: RNAcentral